GAUGAACGCUGACGGCGUGCCUAAUACAUGCAAGUCGAGCGAACGGACGAGAAGCUUGCUUCUCUGAUGUUAGCGGCGGACGGGUGAGUAACACGUGGAUAACCUACCUAUAAGACUGGGAUAACUUCGGGAAACCGGAGCUAAUACCGGAUAAUAUUUUGAACCGCAUGGUUCAAAAGUGAAAGACGGUCUUGCUGUCACUUAUAGAUGGAUCCGCGCUGCAUUAGCUAGUUGGUAAGGUAACGGCUUACCAAGGCAACGAUGCAUAGCCGACCUGAGAGGGUGAUCGGCCACACUGGAACUGAGACACGGUCCAGACUCCUACGGGAGGCAGCAGUAGGGAAUCUUCCGCAAUGGGCGAAAGCCUGACGGAGCAACGCCGCGUGAGUGAUGAAGGUCUUCGGAUCGUAAAACUCUGUUAUUAGGGAAGAACAUAUGUGUAAGUAACUGUGCACAUCUUGACGGUACCCAAUCAGAAAGCCACGGCUAACUACGUG
This 497-nucleotide ribosomal RNA is filed under the name uncultured bacterium. RNAcentral describes it as "partial 16S ribosomal RNA". It matches the Rfam family "Bacterial small subunit ribosomal RNA", at positions 28 to 507 of the family's 1533-position model. The record is from RNAcentral.